CGAACGCUGGCGGCGUGCCUAAUACAUGCAAGUCGAGCGAACCAAUUGAAAGCCUAGCUUUCAUGAGGUUAGCGGCGGACGGGUGAGUAACACGUGGGUAACCUGCCCUAUAGACUGGGAUAACUCGCGGAAACGCGUGCUAAUACCGGAUAAUACAUCAAAGUGCAUGCUUUGAUGUUGAAAGAUGGUUCUGCUAUCACUAUAGGAUGGGCCCGCGGCGAAUUAGCUUGUUGGUGGGGUAACGGCCUACCAAGGCGACGAUGCGUAGCCGACCUGAGAGGGUGAUCGGCCACACUGGGACUGAGACACGGCCCAGACUCCUACGGGAGGCAGCAGUAGGGAAUCUUCCACAAUGGGCGAAAGCCUGAUGGAGCAACGCCGCGUGAGCGAAGAAGGUCUUCGGAUCGUAAAGCUCUGUUGUAAGGGAAGAACAAGUGCAGUAGUAACUGGCUGCACCUUGACGGUACCUUACUAGAAAGCCACGGCUAACUAC
Molecule: ribosomal RNA, 493 nt
Filed under: uncultured bacterium
Lineage: Bacteria
Description: bacterial SSU rRNA
Rfam family: Bacterial small subunit ribosomal RNA
Source: RNAcentral